GGAUAAGAGGAUGAUCUGACUAUGACAUCUGUCACUUCUGAGAACCAGGGUUAAUUUGGCCAAUCCAGCUGGCUAGGUUCUUUCCUCCUUCACUGCUCCAUGGACAUCCUUCUGAAGCUUUGUAUAGUUGAGAAGGAAGUCUUUUCCUGACAGAGAAGGGCUGUUCUUACUCAAGGGCAAGUGGGUAGUUAUGCUAGACCAUCUGAACAAGCUCUCAAGGAAAUGGCCAUUAAGUUGAUUAUUGGUUUAAAUGGAACUGACUUGAGGGUCUUCUGAUGUAA
RNAcentral lists this small nuclear RNA (281 nucleotides) under Nannospalax galili (Upper Galilee mountains blind mole rat). Its description in RNAcentral is "7SK RNA (ENSNGAG00000006065.1)". It matches the Rfam family "7SK RNA". Rfam says of the family: 7SK was discovered as an abundant small nuclear RNA in the mid-70s but a possible function has only recently been suggested. Two independent studies have found that 7SK RNA binds the CDK9/cyclin T complex (known as elongation factor P-TEFb). The record is from Rfam by way of RNAcentral. Lineage: Eukaryota; Metazoa; Chordata; Mammalia; Rodentia; Spalacidae.